GACGAACGCUGGCGGCGUGCCUAAUACAUGCAAGUAGAACGCUGAAGGAGGAGCUUGCUUCUCUGGUUGAGUUGCGAACGGGUGAGUAACGCGUAGGUAACCUGCCUGGUAGCGGGGGAUAACUAUUGGAAACGAUAGCUAAUACCGCAUAAGAGUAGAUGUUGCAUGACAUUUGCUUAAAAGGUGCAAUUGCAUCACUACCAGAUGGACCUGCGUUGUAUUAGCUAGUUGGUGGGGUAACGGCUUACCAAGGCGACGAUACAUAGCCGACCUGAGAGGGUGUUCGGCAAAACUGGGCCUGAGACAGGGCCCAGACUCCUACGGGAGGCAGCAGUAGGGAAUCUUCGGCAAUGGACGGAAGUCUGACCGAGCAACGCCGCGUGAGUGAAGAAGGUUUUCGGAUCGUAAAGCUCUGUUGUAAGAGAAGAACGAGUGUGAGAGUGGAAAGUUCACACUGUGACGGUAUCUUACCAGAAAGGGACGGCUAACUACGU
RNAcentral lists this ribosomal RNA (494 nucleotides) under uncultured bacterium. Its description in RNAcentral is "partial 16S ribosomal RNA". It matches the Rfam family "Bacterial small subunit ribosomal RNA", at positions 28 to 506 of the family's 1533-position model. The record is from RNAcentral.